UACGGGGGGGGCAAGCGUUGUUCGGAAUUACUGGGCGUAAAGGGCUCGUAGGCGGCCAACUAAGUCAGACGUGAAAUCCCUCGGCUUAACCGGGGAACUGCGUCUGAUACUGGAUGGCUUGAGUUUGGGAGAGGGAUGCGGAAUUCCAGGUGUAGCGGUGAAAUGCGUAGAUAUCUGGAGGAACACCGGUGGCGAAGGCGGCAUCCUGGACCGAAACUGACGCUGAGGAGCGAAAGCCAGGGGAGCAAACGGG
Molecule: ribosomal RNA, 253 nt
Filed under: uncultured bacterium
Lineage: Bacteria
Description: partial 16S ribosomal RNA
Rfam family: Bacterial small subunit ribosomal RNA
Source: RNAcentral